AGCUCCAAUAGCGUAUAUUAAAGUUGCUGCAGUUAAAAAGCUCGUAGUUGCAUUUCCGAGGCAAGGGAUUAGUCCGACCUUUGGUGGGUAUUUAAUCCUCUUGCCUCGUCCUUGAGUGGUGCUUCUUGGUAUUAAGUUAUCGAGGAGAUAGCCGCUCAUCGUUUACUGUGAGAAAAUUAGAGUGUUCAAAGCAGGCUUAUGCCGUUGAAUAUAUUAGCAUGGAAUAAUAAGAUAGGACCUCGGUACUAUUUUGUUGGUUUGAGAACCAAUGUAAUGAUGAAUAGGGACAGUUGGGGGUAUUCGUAUUCAGUUGUCAGAGGUGAAAUUCUUAGAUUUACGGAAGACGAACUACUGCGAAAGCAUUUACCAAGGAUGUUUGCA
Molecule: ribosomal RNA, 381 nt
Filed under: uncultured marine Chaetocerotaceae
Lineage: Eukaryota; Bacillariophyta; Thalassiosirophyceae; Chaetocerotales; Chaetocerotaceae
Description: SSU rRNA
Rfam family: Eukaryotic small subunit ribosomal RNA
Source: RNAcentral